This 288-nucleotide small RNA is filed under the name Pongo abelii (Sumatran orangutan). RNAcentral's name for it is "processed transcript". The record is from RNAcentral. Lineage: Eukaryota; Metazoa; Chordata; Mammalia; Primates; Hominidae.
AGUGAGCACCUGUUUGAUAGCUUUGAACCGGAAACGUACUGGGAUCGAAUGCACCUCUUCCAGGAAGCCAUUGCACACAGGCGGCCCCCAUGAAUGUCCUCAGAAGGGGGUGGCUCCUGGUAGCAUCCUUUUCCUUCACCAUCUAUGGGAUAUUAGGGGCAGAAUCUGCCACUUCUUGCCCAGGAGUGUGCACAGAUGUAAGAUAAUUUUGUGAAAUAAUGUACCAUAGACUCUCACCAACUGUAUAUACCUGUACAUAUCAGAAGCAAAUAAAAAGCUCCACGUGCA